This 497-nucleotide ribosomal RNA is filed under the name uncultured bacterium. RNAcentral's name for it is "partial 16S ribosomal RNA". It matches the Rfam family "Bacterial small subunit ribosomal RNA", at positions 28 to 507 of the family's 1533-position model. The record is from RNAcentral.
GAUGAACGCUGGCGGCGUGCCUAAUACAUGCAAGUCGAGCGAACAGACGAGGAGCUUGCUUCUCUGACGUUAGCGGCGGACGGGUGAGUAACACGUGGAUAACCUACCUAUAAGACUGGGAUAACUUCGGGAAACCGGAGCUAAUACCGGAUAAUAUAUUGAACCGCAUGGUUCAAUAGUGAAAGACGGUUUUGCUGUCACUUAUAGAUGGAUCCGCGCCGCAUUAGCUAGUUGGUAAGGUAACGGCUUACCAAGGCAACGAUGCGUAGCCGACCUGAGAGGGGGAUCGGCCACACUGGAACUGAGACACGGUCCAGACUCCUACGGGAGGCAGCAGUAGGGAAUCUUCCGCAAUGGGCGAAAGCCUGACGGAGCAACGCCGCGUGAGUGAUGAAGGUCUUCGGAUCGUAAAACUCUGUUAUUAGGGAAGAACAAAUGUGUAAGUAACUAUGCACGUCUUGACGGUACCUAAUCAGAAAGCCACGGCUAACUACGUG